AUGCUACCACUACCCGUCCACCUGUCCUUCAUGCGCGGCCACUACUGGGCGGGCAUGAAGGCCAACUGGAUCGUCCUCAUCCACCACACCGGUAGUCCAUGGCGUCUCGUGGAUAUCUACACCCAGCGAGAGAUCACCCUUCCAUCGUUGGAUACCGUAGCCAUCGAGCCUAGCAGCCCGCUGGACACUCCUGCCUACUACGCACGAGACGCGUCAGGCUUUUGGCUCGACCUCUGUUUGCAGAAUGUUGUAAUCUGCGAAGUGCCCACACCAUCAGAAGACUACAUGGAUUACAAGCUCAUUGCCUUGUUCAACAUGGGAUUAGUCUAUCUGGAAUCCGGUCGCCAUACAUGCAGACGCAAAUGCGCUGGCCUUCAUGAUUCCAGGACCUGGAAUCAUACCAGCCGAUGGUCAGAGAAGGAUUGGCCGGUGCUGCCGGCUGGCGUCAAGUUCGAUCCCAUGGAUCAGGAGCUGAUUGAGCACCUUGAGGCCAAAGUGGGUGUUGACAGCGCAAGAUUUCAGUCUCUCAUUGAUUUGUUCAUACCAACCAUCGACAGCGAGCACGGCAUAUGCUACAUCCAACCUGAGAAACUUCCAGGCAGACGGGCAGCAAAAAUGGUUCUGGUGCUGCACACCAACAAGAACUUCGACCAGCAGAGGACCAACUGGGUGAUGCACCAGUACCACCUCGGGGACCUGGAGCAAGAGAAGGAGCGGGAGCUGGUCCUCUGCAAGAUUUUCUACCAGACGAACACUAGGGCCAGGAGUAAAAAGAUUAUAAGUUAG
This 786-nucleotide ribosomal RNA is filed under the name Triticum aestivum (bread wheat). Its description in RNAcentral is "partial small subunit ribosomal RNA". Lineage: Eukaryota; Viridiplantae; Streptophyta; Magnoliopsida; Poales; Poaceae. The record is from RNAcentral.